RNAcentral lists this unclassified non-coding RNA (21 nucleotides) under Mus musculus (house mouse). RNAcentral's name for it is "oocyte_clustered_small_RNA8860". Lineage: Eukaryota; Metazoa; Chordata; Mammalia; Rodentia; Muridae. The record is from RNAcentral.
AGAAGUCCAUCCCUCUCCACA